RNAcentral lists this ribosomal RNA (464 nucleotides) under uncultured bacterium. RNAcentral describes it as "bacterial SSU rRNA". It matches the Rfam family "Bacterial small subunit ribosomal RNA", at positions 329 to 792 of the family's 1533-position model. The record is from RNAcentral.
UUCCAGACUCCUACGGGAGGCAGCAGUGGGGAAUAUUGCACAAUGGGGGAAACCCUGAUGCAGCGACGCCGCGUGAGUGAAGAAGUAUUUCGGUAUGUAAAGCUCUAUCAGCAGGGAAGAAAUAGCGACCUUUGGGUCGCCAGACGGUACCUGAUUAAGAAGCCCCGGCUAACUACGUGCCAGCAGCCGCGGUAAUACGUAGGGGGCAGGCGUUAUCCGGAUUUACUGGGUGUAAAGGGAGCGUAGACGGUGCAGCAAGUCUGAUGUGAAAGGUCGGGGCCCAACCCCGGGACUGCAUUGGAAACUGUUGAACUGGAGUACGGGAGAGGUAAGCGGAAUUCCUAGUGUAGCGGUGAAAUGCGUAGAUAUUAGGAGGAACACCAGUGGCGAAGGCGGCUUACUGGACUGUAACUGACGUUGAGGCUCGAAAGCGUGGGGAGCAAACAGGAUUAGAUACCCCUGUA